RNAcentral lists this small nuclear RNA (72 nucleotides) under Spermophilus dauricus (Daurian ground squirrel). Lineage: Eukaryota; Metazoa; Chordata; Mammalia; Rodentia; Sciuridae. The record is from RNAcentral.
GUUAUACAGAGAAGAUUAGCAUGGCCCCUGUGCAAGGAUGACACACAAAUUCAUGAAACGUUCCAUAUUUUU